This is a non-coding RNA of Podarcis lilfordi (Lilford's wall lizard), 78 nucleotides long. NCBI's taxonomy places the organism in Eukaryota, Metazoa, Chordata, Lepidosauria, Squamata, Lacertidae. The record is from the annotation of a GenBank genome assembly.
GCCCAUCUGGGUUAGCUCAGUUGGUAGAGCAUGAGAUUCUUAAUCUCAGGGUUGUGGGUUCAAAUCUCACCUUGGGCA